GUUCAGCGACCGUGAUUCUGUUCAGCGACCAUGAUGUUGAGCCCCUAAUUGAGAGUCUGUUACCACUAUUAAUAGCUACUCUGUUCGGGCCCUACACAUAACGGUGUAUCUAAACCUCUCUACAAUUUUAUGGACAGAGUCUUGCUGUGUCGCCCAAGCUAGAGUGCAGUGGUGUCAUCUGGGCUCAUUGCAACCUCCGCUUCCUGGAUUCAAGCAAUUCUCAUGCCACAGCCUCCCAAGUAGCUGGGACUACAGGUGCGCACCACCAUGCCUGACUAAUUUUUGUAUUUUUAGUAGAGACAGGGUUUCACCAUGCUGGCCAGGCUGGUCUCGAACUCCUGACCUCAAGUGAUCCACCUGCCUCAGCCUCCGAAAGUGCUGGGAUUGCAGGUGUGAGCCACCAUGUCCGCCCAUUGAAAAGCUCUUUAAAUAUUG
RNAcentral lists this long non-coding RNA (435 nucleotides) under Homo sapiens (human). RNAcentral describes it as "non-protein coding lnc-GVQW2-1:7". The record is from RNAcentral. Lineage: Eukaryota; Metazoa; Chordata; Mammalia; Primates; Hominidae.